AGGACGAACGCUGGCGGCGUGCUUAACACAUGCAAGUCGAGCGGAAAGGCCCUUCGGGGUACUCGAGCGGCGAACGGGUGAGUAACACGUGAGCAACCUGCCCCUAGCUCUGGGAUAGCUCCGGGAAACCGGGAUUAAUACCAGAUACGACCACUUUAGACAUCUGCUGUGGUGGAAAGGAUUCCGGCUAGGGAUGGGCUCGCGGCCUAUCAGCUUGUUGGUGGAGUAACGGCCCACCAAGGCGACGACGGGUAGCCGGCCUGAGAGGGCGACCGGCCACACUGGGACUGAGACACGGCCCAGACUCCUACGGGAGGCAGCAGUGGGGAAUAUUGCGCAAUGGGCGAAAGCCUGACGCAGCGACGCCGCGUGGGGGAUGAAGGCCUUCGGGUUGUAAACCCCUUUCAGCAGGGACGAAGCGAAAGUGACGGUACCUGCAGAAGAAGCGCCGGCUAACUACGCGCCAGCAGCCGC
Molecule: ribosomal RNA, 474 nt
Filed under: uncultured bacterium
Lineage: Bacteria
Description: SSU rRNA
Rfam family: Bacterial small subunit ribosomal RNA
Source: RNAcentral